RNAcentral lists this ribosomal RNA (492 nucleotides) under uncultured bacterium. Its description in RNAcentral is "partial 16S ribosomal RNA". It matches the Rfam family "Bacterial small subunit ribosomal RNA", at positions 29 to 507 of the family's 1533-position model. The record is from RNAcentral.
AGUGAACGCUGGCGGUAGGCCUAACACAUGCAAGUCGAACGGCAGCACAGUAAGAGCUUGCUCUUACGGGUGGCGAGUGGCGGACGGGUGAGGAAUACAUCGGAAUCUACUUUUUCGUGGGGGAUAACGUAGGGAAACUUACGCUAAUACCGCAUACGACCUACGGGUGAAAGCAGUGGAUCUUCGGACCUUGCGCGAUUGAAUGAGCCGAUGUCGGAUUAGCUAGUUGGCGGGGUAAAGGCCCACCAAGGCGACGAUCCGUAGCUGGUCUGAGAGGAUGAUCGGCCACACUGGAACUGAGACACGGUCAAGACUCCUAAGGGAGGCAGCAGUGGGGAAUAUGGGACAAUGGGCGCAAGCCUGAUCCAGCCAUACCGCGUGGGUGAAGAAGGCCUUCGGGUUGUAAAGCCCUUUUGUUGGGAAAGAAAAGCAGCAGGUUAAUACCCCGCUGUUCUGACGGUACCCAAAGAAUAAGCACCGGCUAACUUCGUG